Molecule: long non-coding RNA, 836 nt
Filed under: Numida meleagris (helmeted guineafowl)
Lineage: Eukaryota; Metazoa; Chordata; Aves; Galliformes; Numididae
Description: lncRNA (ENSNMEG00000015048.1)
Source: RNAcentral
CUCAUCUCAAAGACAAUUACUAGCCUGUGGUCUCCGCAUUAACAGCAACAAGACAAGGCUCUGGACAGCUAAGCAGCAGAUUUGCUGAGAAGUGCUCAGGAAAUUAGCGUGAAAAAUUAUCCAUGACUGCAUGUGCUGUUCUGUGCUAACUACAAAGUGUUCUUCACAUCAGUUUUGGGAGAAGUUUUAGAGCUAAUCAACUUUGUUGUCUAAGACCUCCACAGUGCUACCACCAAGUCAGAGCUUGUGAGCAACAAACUGCUGAGCUGCUUGCUUAUGACAUUCUAGGUCUCUUUUCUUUCCUUCUGCAGAGUGAGUAGAACAAAAUUUAACAUAAUUUGCAUCUUUUUUUUCCUGCAUUUGUUGGAACUAGUUGAUCUUUAAUGUCCCUUGCAACCCAAGACAUUCUGUGAUUUUCUAUAUUCACUCAUGACUCCAUAUUAAUUGCUCAGUUAGUAACUCAUUUUAUUUCUUCUUGAGCUUUAUAACAGCCCUAUACAGCCAUUUGAAAAAUUCAGUGGAAUAGACUUUCACAAACAGCUUCUGUCCUUUUCCUUUUUUCCUUCUUUUCCAUCCUCUUCUUCCCAGAACAUAAUUGUUCAUAUACUGAAUUGAGCUGAAAAGAUAAUUAAGGACACUCUCAUUCAACUGAAAUGUCACUAUUUUCUGAUAAUAUAUGACUUCAGUUUAAUAUAAUCACAGCAUUUAAACCAAUUGGGUUUUUUUCUUUAUUCUGUAUGGUAUUUUGAAUAUUAUACAAGUUUUUAAUAUAUGUAUUAGAAUUUAUGAUGUAGAAAUAUGAACACCUGACAAGAAUACUCUAUUAGGACAGACUC